CUUCACUCUGCUCAGCAGUCUGCAGGGGCCGCACUAUACAUUCAGAGCCGCUUGAUCCAGAGGAAGGUUUUGUAUAUUACGUUUGUCAACCUUCACAGACGAAAAUCGGAUUCGUUUUGAGACAGAGAGACGUUAAAGUGACGAGGUGGUGAAAGUUCUGAACUUGCAGAGGCGAAAUCAGAGACGGAAACAAGACGAUCCAGGAGGAUUCCUGAAGGAUGACAAGAUGGGAGGGUGACGACAACAAGUCGGGUGGACGAUGACAACGGAAUGGGAGGGCGAUGACAACAGGACGGGUGCAGGUUUCAAGUCAAACCCUUUAACGUCUCAAAAUGAAACCACAACUUUUCAAAAACUCACACAUGUAAAUAUCACUUAAAUAACAGCAAAAUACCUGCAGCAUUUCUUGCGGAACAUUGCAAAGAAGGUUCCAAGUCAAAAUGGAGAACUGGAUAAAGAAGAGUCACCGAGGAACACUUCCAGGGUUUUCUCCAAAACACCUGCUGAGCCUGGUGGUAGCAUUGCUGGGGUCACCCAUCAGAGCCUGCUGUGUGUUUGUCAAGUUACCAAAAGUCAGAGGUGCACCAACAGGCACCUUAAUUCAGAAAUAACAGUGUGUGAAGCUGAGGAACCACAGCCAAUUAGAACGCCAGACCAGGUGUAGCUUCUAUGAAAAGAAAAAUAACUGAGAAAACAAAAAGUUUGUAGUUGAAGUAAAUAAUGUAGUAGAAAAAGAAAAUGAGAAAAAGUGAUCGAUUUGUCGUCCAGUAACCUAAACCUACAGCAGUAUAACUAAGGAGAUAGAUCAGGAUAGCCUAAACUAUUCUAAGUCUUUUCUUAAUCAAUGCCAUAAUCAUGGUAAUACCAUAAUGCAAGAACACAUUCUCAAAGAUCAAUAAAUACUAAAUUCUAACAAACAUCUAACACUGAA
Molecule: long non-coding RNA, 931 nt
Organism: Xiphophorus maculatus (southern platyfish)
Lineage: Eukaryota; Metazoa; Chordata; Actinopteri; Cyprinodontiformes; Poeciliidae
Exons: 3
Source: RefSeq, a predicted model, not a curated record